Molecule: long non-coding RNA, 2977 nt
Organism: Sander lucioperca (pikeperch)
Lineage: Eukaryota; Metazoa; Chordata; Actinopteri; Perciformes; Percidae
Exons: 5
Source: RefSeq, a predicted model, not a curated record
AGUGCUGUAGCUAAGUUAACUGUAUAGUAAUGUUAGCUACAAAGCAAACAAUAGUGAUGUCGCCUACUAUUUUAGUUUGUUUGUAAUAUUGUUAAUUUUGGGCCAAGAGGAAACUAUAGCUAGAUACUCUGUGAUUGAUUGUGUGAGUGCAUCACAUCAUCUUUUAGCAAGAUGGCGGUGCGCGUAUACUCAGCGAAUCGGUGUUGGUGCUCUCGCCGGGUUCAAGUCUGUUUUUUGGGGCAAAAGCGCAACCGAAGUCCCCUGGAGGCUCUAGCCUAUUUUUUGCUCUACCCUGCUGUGAGACAGGACGCACCGCGGCUCGCCAUUUGCAGCGUCUGAUAUACAGUAUUUUCUUGGCGAGCGAAUCUGGCAAGAAAGUACACUGAUAAUCUUUUAUAAACAAUAUAAAUAAAGGAUUACGUUAUUGAUAUAAAUGACCGAUUCUGUCAAAUGAUAAAAAAUGUAUCCCCUGCUUGCCAACCCUUUUGAUUUCCUUUCUCUCUCCCUUCUGUCUUCCUUGACAGACAGAUGAGGUUAUACAGUAUAUAUUGCAGUAUAUGUUAUAAGCUCUACAUGUGAUUAACCUAGCUAGUUACCUAUUUAUUAUAUACACAUAUCUGUAUUGCAUCUAACUUGUUAAAUACCUUCUUAUACUGCAAUGUUUGCACUGCCACUGUUUAGUGUUACUUGCCUCAUCCAUGUGCCUUUAUGUUAUUGUAGAUAGAGGACUGCGGAUUGAGCUUCAAACUUUAAGCCAGCAGAGCAAGGUUAUCAUUGGAGGAGAUAUGCGGGCAGAUUCUCCAGGCCAUUGUGCCAAAUCUGGAAGCUAUACUGUGAUGAAUCUUGAAACCAGCACAGUCAUCGAUAUCCAACUUGUGCAGGCGUGUAUAUUACCAAAGAUAUUUAAACCACCACUACUUAGUAGUGCAAAUGCAAUUGCAAAGCAUCCCUAAAAUAGUAAUCUGGCAUGACCUUGUAUGACAGCACAUUGGACUUAGGUUUUGCUCCAGCUAUUUCACUCAGUCUACCCUGUUUUCUAUCAACAGAUGAUUAACUGUGAUUCAAGCACUAAUGAUUAGUAACUGUUAAACAGACUGGUAGUUACUGUUAAAUGAAUAAGUAACGAAUGAGGAACUACUGGUUAGUUAAUGAUUAGUUACUGAAUGACGGACUCAAGCACUAAUGAUUAGUUAUUGAUAAACAGACUGUCUGUGUGUGUUACUGUAUUAAUGAAUCAUUAGGAAAUCUGUUCAUGGGAUUUAUAGUAAUAAAAAGAAUAGAGAUGACACAGGUUGAGUCUCAUAAUAUAUUUUAAUAAUGAUAUUCACAAAACAUUUACAUUGACAAACAAGGUAUAUUCUGUAGUAUUGACAUUGUUGAAGGCUUAAAAGCAAUUGUAUGCUGCUGCAGGGCAUGCUUUAAUCCUGCCACCCUGGGUUCCGUGCGCUGUUGAGCGGUAGUUAAAGACCAAAGAAGGAUUGAUCCUUACUUAGCUGCUACUUGUUAACGAGUGAUUACCUAACCAUUAUUUACCAUUACUGAAGCAUUGUGCGUACCUGGAGAUAAAGUGAGCUGUCAUACUGAGUGGUUAAUCAUUAACAAAUGAUUAGUAAAGCAUUCACUACCAUUUGUACUGAGUGGUGGUUAGUUAUUAACGAAUGAUUAGUUAAGCAUAACUAAUCAUUGGUUAAUGAUUAACCACCACUUAGUACCAAUGGUAGUGAAUGCUUAAAGGUCCCAUAUGGUGAAAAUGGGUUUUUAUGGGAUUCUGUGUGUCAUAUAGGCUCGGGGGUGUAAAUUAAAAGCUGUGAAAAUGUGAAAUCAUUCACUGCCGCCAUUUCUCCACCCCCCACACAACUAGACCAGCUAAACGGGCCAGUUAGAAUUUGAUGUAUUUGCUACGUAGAAACCGGGUAACCAAUGGGUGUCGUGUUCCAAAAAUCGACCUAGCCCCGCCCCCUUUCCCAACGUUUGCUUCCUGCCGCUGAGAAGAAUCCGAGACGAAGCGGGAGUCAUGUCUGGAGUUAAGUCGUCCCUGAAAACCAGGCAUGAGAAAUGCAUCAUUCCAGAGUAUCAAAUACAUCACUGCACUGCCUUCCAAAAGAAAAAGAUGUCGCCGACAAGUGGAUGGAUUUUAUUUUUGGAGACUUGCCUCAACCUGUGCCAAGUCAGGCUUUUCGGCUAUGUACUGCACAUUUUUCACUGAAGUUCGUACUGAAUCAGGGGCUAUAUGAUGCUGGAGUCAUAUCCAAACUACUAUUGAUGAAAGGAUCCAUUCCAACUAUUCGGGACCCUCUCCCAAGCAUUGAAAUGGGAGCCAUUAGACCUGUUUCCCAGGCCAGUACCUCCCGGAGUAUUGGCUGCCAAAAAGAUCUGUUGGAACCCAACUAUCCAAGGACACUCUUAAGACUCGCAUCAGAAGCAGAGCUUCUCAGACAACUGUGGUCUGUGAGAAUGUGUGGUCUCCCCCACUUCUCACCUCAACACCCUUGAAGCCCCUUCCACCCAAUAAGAGACCGUGACUGGAACUAGAGGAGGACGACGAUGAAUGGGAGGGCUCCAUUGAGGCUACUGACCCUAAUGACUCCACUUUCAUUCAAAGUGUAUCAAUGACAACAGAGUCAUCGACUGUAUCACAAGCCUCACCACCAUAUGAUGUACCUAAAUAUAUUGUAUAUGAAGACUGCCUCCUCGAGUUGUUUGAGUUAUGUCCAGUGUGCAGCUCCAUGUGUGAUGUCUGGAAGACUAUACGUGGGACUUUCCUUGCUGUUGAUCAGACGUGCCACCGUUGUGAGUUCAACAGACAGUGGAAGAGUCAACCGUUCAUUGGAAGUACACCUGAAUGCCAACCGGCCACAGUCAACAAGUGCUUUGGGAGAUCCUGCCUUUAAACUGGCCUUCCCUAAAGCGAAGAAAGGGGGAUACAGCCUCAAACGAAGGAAAAUUGAGCAUUACAUUACAUGUCAUUUAGCUGACG